RNAcentral lists this ribosomal RNA (497 nucleotides) under uncultured bacterium. Its description in RNAcentral is "bacterial SSU rRNA". It matches the Rfam family "Bacterial small subunit ribosomal RNA", at positions 24 to 518 of the family's 1533-position model. The record is from RNAcentral.
UCAGGACGAACGCUGGCGGCGUGCCUAACACAUGCAAGUCGAACGAAGCUCCUGCGUGGAAUCUUCGGAUGAAGCAAGGGAAGACUUAGUGGCGGACGGGUGAGUAACGCGUGAGCAACCUGCCUUUCAGAGGGGGAUAACAGUUGGAAACGACUGCUAAUACCGCAUAACAUAAUUUUGUCGCAUGGCAAGAUUAUCAAAGCUGAGGCGCUGAGAGAUGGGCUCGCGUCCGAUUAGAUAGUUGGUGGGGUAACGGCCUACCAAGUCGACGAUCGGUAGCCGGACUGAGAGGUUGAACGGCCACAUUGGGACUGAGACACGGCCCAGACUCCUACGGGAGGCAGCAGUGGGGGAUAUUGCACAAUGGGCGAAAGCCUGAAUGCAGCAACGCCGCGUGAGGGAGGACGGUUUUCGGAUUGUAAACCUCUGUCUUUGGUGAAGAAGGAAGUGACGGUAGCCAAGGAGGAAGCCACGGCUAACUACGUGCCAGCAGCGGC